AGUAAUGUCUGGGAAACUGCCUGAUGGAGGGGGAUAACUACUGGAAACGGUAGCUAAUACCGCAUAACGUCGCAAGACCAAAGAGGGGGACCUUCGGGCCUCUUGCCAUCAGAUGUGCCCAGAUGGGAUUAGCUAGUAGGUGGGGUAACGGCUCACCUAGGCGACGAUCCCUAGCUGGUCUGAGAGGAUGACCAGCCACACUGGAACUGAGACACGGUCCAGACUCCUACGGGAGGCAGCAGUGGGGAAUAUUGCACAAUGGGCGCAAGCCUGAUGCAGCCAUGCCGCGUGUGUGAAGAAGGCCUUCGGGUUGUAAAGCACUUUCAGCGGGGAGGAAGGGAGUAAGGUUAAUAACCUUAUUCAUUGACGUUACCCGCAGAAGAAGCACCGGCUAACUCCGUGCCAGCAGCCGCGGUAAUACGGAGGGUGCAAGCGUUAAUCGGAAUUACUGGGCGUAAAGCGCACGCAGGCGGUCUGUCAAGUCGGAUGUGAAAUCCCCGGGCUCAACCUGGGAACUGCAUCCGAAACUGGCAGGCUUGAGUCUCGUAGAGGGAGGUAGAAUUCCAGGUGUAGCGGUGAAAUGCGUAGAGAUCUGGAGGAAUACCGGUGGCGAAGGCGGCCUCCUGGACGAA
RNAcentral lists this ribosomal RNA (632 nucleotides) under uncultured bacterium. RNAcentral's name for it is "bacterial SSU rRNA". It matches the Rfam family "Bacterial small subunit ribosomal RNA", at positions 109 to 737 of the family's 1533-position model. The record is from RNAcentral.